UACGUAGGUGGCAAGCGUUGUCCGGAUUUACUGGGCGUAAAGAGCGCGCAGGCGGUCGUACAAGUCGCGUGUGAAAGCCCCCGGCUCAACUGGGGAGGGUCACGCGAUACUGUUCGACUCGAAGGCAGGAGAGGGAAGCGGAAUUCCCGGUGUAGCAGUGAAAUGCGUAGAGAUCGGGAGGAACACCAGUGGCGAAGGCGGCUACCUGGACCAGCACUGACACUGAAGCACGAAAGCGUGGGGAGCAAACAGG
Molecule: ribosomal RNA, 253 nt
Filed under: uncultured bacterium
Lineage: Bacteria
Description: partial 16S ribosomal RNA
Rfam family: Bacterial small subunit ribosomal RNA
Source: RNAcentral